RNAcentral lists this ribosomal RNA (459 nucleotides) under uncultured bacterium. RNAcentral describes it as "partial 16S ribosomal RNA". It matches the Rfam family "Bacterial small subunit ribosomal RNA", at positions 338 to 795 of the family's 1533-position model. The record is from RNAcentral.
CCUACGGGAGGCAGCAGUGAGGAAUAUUGGUCAAUGGACGAGAGUCUGAACCAGCCAAGUAGCGUGAAGGAUGACUGCCCUAUGGGUUGUAAACUUCUUUUAUAAAGGAAUAAACGAGGCACGUGUGCCUUUUUGCAUGUACUUUAUGAAUAAGGAUCGGCUAACUCCGUUCCAGCAGCCGCGGUAAUACGGAGGAUCCGAGCGUUAUCCGGAUUUUAUGGGUUUAAAGGGAGCGUAGAUGGGUUGUUAAGGCAGUUGUUAAAGUUUGCGGGUUAACCCUAAAAUUGCAAUUGAUACUGGCAGUCUUGAGUACAGUUGAGGUAAGCGGAAUUCGUGGUGUAGCGGUGAAAUGCUUAGAUAUCACGAAGAACCCCGAUUGCGAAGGCAGCUUACUAAACUGUGACUGACAUUGAUGCUCGAAAGUGUGGGUAUCAAACAGGAUUAGAUACCCUAGUAGUC